AACGAACGCUGGCGGCAGGCUUAACACAUGCAAGUCGAGCGCCCCGCAAGGGGAGCGGCAGACGGGUGAGUAACGCGUGGGAACGUACCUUUUGGUUCGGAACAACUCCGGGAAACUGGAGCUAAUACCGGAUAAGCCCUAACGGGGAAAGAUUUAUCGCCGAAAGAUCGGCCCGCGUCUGAUUAGCUAGUUGGUGAGGUAACGGCUCACCAAGGCGACGAUCAGUAGCUGGUCUGAGAGGAUGAUCAGCCACACUGGGACUGAGACACGGCCCAGACUCCUACGGGAGGCAGCAGUGGGGAAUAUUGGACAAUGGGCGCAAGGCUGAUCCAGCCAUGCCGCGUGAGUGAUGAAGGCCUUAGGGUUGUAAAGCUCUUUUGUCCGGGAAGAUAAUGACUGUACCGGAAGAAUAAGCCCCGGCUAACUUCGUG
Molecule: ribosomal RNA, 431 nt
Filed under: uncultured bacterium
Lineage: Bacteria
Description: partial 16S ribosomal RNA
Rfam family: Bacterial small subunit ribosomal RNA
Source: RNAcentral